GAUGAAGAACGUAGCGAAAUGCGAUAAGUAAUGUGAAUUGCAGAAUUCAGUGAAUCACCGAAUCUUUGAACGCACAUUGCGCCCAUUAGUAUUCUAGUGGGCAUGCCUGUUCGAGCGUCAUUUCAACCCUUAAGCCUAGCUUAGUAUUGGGAAUCGACUUUACUGUCGUUCCUCAAAUUCAACGGCGGAUUUAUAGCAAUCUCUGAACGUAGUAAUUUUUUUUCUCGUUUUUGAAAUACUAUAAACCUCAGCCGCUAAACCCCCAAUUUCUUAUGGUUGACCUCGGAUCAGGUAGGAAUACCCGCUGAACUUAAGCAUAUCAAUAAGCGGAGGA
This 334-nucleotide unclassified non-coding RNA is filed under the name soil metagenome. Its description in RNAcentral is "partial contains 5.8S ribosomal RNA, internal transcribed spacer 2, and large subunit ribosomal RNA". The stretch from base 1 to 120 matches the Rfam family "5.8S ribosomal RNA", at positions 35 to 154 of the family's 154-position model. The record is from RNAcentral.